Molecule: small nuclear RNA, 109 nt
Filed under: Physeter macrocephalus (sperm whale)
Lineage: Eukaryota; Metazoa; Chordata; Mammalia; Artiodactyla; Physeteridae
Source: RNAcentral
AUGCUUGACUCAACAGCACAUACACUAAAAAAUUUGAACCAUACAGAGAAGACUAGCAUGGCCCCUAUACAAAGAUAAUAUGCAAAUUCGUGAAACACUUUCUGUUUUU